CAAAUUAUAGAAGAAAUAAUUGAAAUAAAAAAUUUGGUAUGUAUUAAUGAGAGAAGGGGUACAAGAAUCGAUGUUAAAACGGGGAAGGAAUCAGAUAUAGAUCUAACAUUUGUAUCGAAUGAUAUAGCUGGUAUCUGUGAGUGGUCGUUGAUAAAGAAACUACAGUAGGUAGUGAUCAUUAUCCUAUAACUAUAAGGGUAGGAAUAAUUGGAAAUAAGUAUAAAAAUAGAGGGGAAAUAUUUAACUUUAAUAAGGCUGAUUGGAGUAAGUUUAGAUAUUUGAGUGAAAUGUAUUUAGAAAAGGUAGAUUUUAAUAUGCAUAUAAAUGAAGUAAAUGCAAAUAUCUC
Long non-coding RNA from Poecilia latipinna (sailfin molly), 346 nucleotides. RefSeq lists it as uncharacterized. The record is from RefSeq and is a predicted model, not a curated record. The transcript has 2 exons. Lineage: Eukaryota; Metazoa; Chordata; Actinopteri; Cyprinodontiformes; Poeciliidae.